RNAcentral lists this ribosomal RNA (256 nucleotides) under uncultured bacterium. Its description in RNAcentral is "partial small subunit ribosomal RNA". It matches the Rfam family "Bacterial small subunit ribosomal RNA", at positions 26 to 286 of the family's 1533-position model. The record is from RNAcentral.
AGGACGAACGCUGGCGGCGUGCUUAACACAUGCAAGUCGAGCGGAAAGGCCCUUCGGGGUACUCGAGCGGCGAACGGGUGAGUAACACGUGAGCAACCUGCCCCUGGCUCUGGGAUAGCUCCGGGAAACCGGGAUUAAUACCGGACAUGACCUCCUCCCGCAUGGGUGGGGGUGGAAAGUUUUUUCGGCCAGGGAGGGGCUCGCGGCCUAUCAGCUUGUUGGCAGGGUAAUGGCCUACCAAGGCGACGACGGGUAG